UACGGGAGGCAGCAGUGGGGAAUAUUGCACAAUGGGCGCAAGCCUGAUGCAGCCAUGCCGCGUGUAUGAAAAAGGCCUUCGGGUUGUAAAGUACUUUCAGUCGUGAGGAAGGUGUUAAGGUUAAUAACCUUAGCAAUUGACGUUAGCGACAGAAGAAGCACCGGCUAACUCCGUGCCAGCAGCCGCGGUAAUACGGAGGGUGCGAGCGUUAAUCGGAAUUACUGGGCGUAAAGGGCACGCAGGCGGUUAAUUAAGUUGGAUGUGAAAUCCCCGGGCUUAACCUGGGAAUGGCAUUCAAGACUGGUUAGCUAGAGUCUUGUAGAGGGGGUAGAAUUCCAUGUGUAGCGGUGAAAUGCGUAGAGAUGUGGAGGAAUACCGGUGGCGAAGGCGGCCCCUGGACAAAGACUGACGCUCAUGUGCGAAAGCGUGGGGAGCAAACGAGGGAUUAGGAUACC
RNAcentral lists this ribosomal RNA (455 nucleotides) under uncultured bacterium. Its description in RNAcentral is "bacterial SSU rRNA". It matches the Rfam family "Bacterial small subunit ribosomal RNA", at positions 340 to 786 of the family's 1533-position model. The record is from RNAcentral.